CAGCAGUAGCCACGGGAAUACAGAGGGUGCGAGCGUUAAUCGGAUUUACUGGGCGUAAAGCGUGCGUAGGCGGCUAAUUGAGUCGGAUGUGAAAUCCCCGAGCUUAACUUGGGAAUUGCAUUCGAUACUGGUUAGCUAGAGUGUGGGAGAGGAUGGUAGAAUUCCAGGUGUAGCGGUGAAAUGCGUAGAGAUCUGGAGGAAUACCGAUGGCGAAGGCAGCCAUCUGGCCUAACACUGACGCUGAGGUACGAAAGCAUGGGGAGCAAACAGGAUUAGAUACCCCGGUAGUCCCUGUCUCUUAUAC
Molecule: ribosomal RNA, 304 nt
Filed under: uncultured bacterium
Lineage: Bacteria
Description: partial 16S ribosomal RNA
Rfam family: Bacterial small subunit ribosomal RNA
Source: RNAcentral